AUACUUACCUGGCAGGGGAGACACCACGAUCCUGAAAGUGUUUUUCCCAGGGCGAGGCGUAUCCAUUGCACUCUGGAUGUGCUGACCCCUGGGACUUCCCAAUGUGGGAAAUUAUCUGCAUAAUUUGUGGUUGUGGGGGGGCUUGUGUGCUCUCCCCUA
Molecule: small nuclear RNA, 159 nt
Organism: Myotis myotis
Lineage: Eukaryota; Metazoa; Chordata; Mammalia; Chiroptera; Vespertilionidae
Product: U1 spliceosomal RNA
Exons: 1
Source: RefSeq, a predicted model, not a curated record